GCCUUUGUGGUGUAGUGGUCAGCACGCUCGACUUGCUUUCGAAGGGCUGUGGUUUGAGUCCCGGCGAGGGUA
RNAcentral lists this transfer RNA (72 nucleotides) under Stegodyphus mimosarum. It matches the Rfam family "tRNA". Rfam says of the family: Transfer RNA (tRNA) molecules are approximately 80 nucleotides in length. Their secondary structure includes four short double-helical elements and three loops (D, anti-codon, and T loops). Lineage: Eukaryota; Metazoa; Arthropoda; Arachnida; Araneae; Eresidae. The record is from Rfam by way of RNAcentral.